CCUACGGGUGGCUGCAGUGAGGAAUAUUGGUCAAUGGGCGGGAGCCUGAACCAGCCAAGCCGCGUGAGGGAAGAAGGUACAGCGUAUCGUAAACCUCUUUUGUCAGGGAACAAAGGCGGGGACUAGUCCCCGGAUGAGGGUACCUGAAGAAAAAGCAUCGGCUAACUCCGUGCCAGCAGCCGCGGUAAUACGGAGGAUGCGAGCGUUAUCCGGAUUUAUGGGGGUAAAAGGGUGGGCAGGCGGCCUGUUAAGUCAGCGGGAAAAGCCCGGGGCUAAACCCCGGCGAGCCGUUGAAACUGGGGGGCUGGAGUUGGAGAGAGGUAGGCGGAAGGCGCGGUGUAGCGGUGAAAUGCUUAGAUAUCG
Molecule: ribosomal RNA, 363 nt
Filed under: uncultured bacterium
Lineage: Bacteria
Description: partial 16S ribosomal RNA
Rfam family: Bacterial small subunit ribosomal RNA
Source: RNAcentral